CUCGGAUCCCUAGCCUGCCUCAAGAACAAGAUACAAGAAAUUCUAGACAUUAUUGACUUGCCAUUCCUCAAUGAACUAUUGACUAUUCUAGCAGGGCAAGUCACGGUCAUCAUGACGGCGGUCCACACAAGUAGGCAGAGCAUUGGAUGCUACUUUUCUCCAACAUAUUCAUUAACACCAGCACACAACGCAAACCUUUACAAGAACACCGCAAGAGCAUGGACCGCCAUUACGCAAGGCAGAAACUGUCAACCAUUCGCAACCCCGUUCGCUACAACCCUCUUCUCUGACGCAACUGGCUUAGCACCCUUCGGGGCAUCUCCAGAUGUAAUUGAUCCAUUUUCUGCAACUUUCGGGUCCUCACU
RNAcentral lists this long non-coding RNA (365 nucleotides) under Malus domestica (apple). Its description in RNAcentral is "long non-coding RNA (MDOM_LNC002272)". The record is from RNAcentral. Lineage: Eukaryota; Viridiplantae; Streptophyta; Magnoliopsida; Rosales; Rosaceae.